UCUUGAGGACUAGUGGUUAGGCCACGGCGCUCUCAUCGCCAUGGCCCCGGUUCGAUUCCCGGCCAGGGAA
RNAcentral lists this transfer RNA (70 nucleotides) under Pangasianodon gigas (Mekong giant catfish). RNAcentral describes it as "tRNA-Glu". Lineage: Eukaryota; Metazoa; Chordata; Actinopteri; Siluriformes; Pangasiidae. The record is from RNAcentral.